This 477-nucleotide ribosomal RNA is filed under the name uncultured anaerobic ammonium-oxidizing bacterium. RNAcentral describes it as "bacterial SSU rRNA". It matches the Rfam family "Bacterial small subunit ribosomal RNA", at positions 364 to 832 of the family's 1533-position model. The record is from RNAcentral.
UUUCGCAAUGCCCGAAAGGGUGACGAAGCGACGCCGCGUGUGGGAAGAAGGCCUUCGGGUUGUAAACCACUGUCGGGAGCUAAGAAAGGUGUACGGGUAAAUAGUCCGUGCAUUUGACAAAAGCUCCGGAGGAAGCCACGGCUAACUCUGUGCCAGCAGCCGCGGUAAUACAGAGGUGGCAAGCGUUGUUCGGAAUUAUUGGGCGUAAAGAGCACGUAGGCGGCCCUGCAAGUCAGCUGUGAAAGCCUCCUGCUUAACGGGAGAAGUGCAGUUGAAACUACGGGGCUAGAGUGCGGAAGGGGAGAGUGGAACUUCUGGUGGAGCGGUGAAAUGCGUAGAUAUCAGAAGGAACACCGGCGGCGAAAGCGGCUCUCUGGUCCGUAACUGACGCUGAGGUGCGAAAGCCAGGGGAGCAAACGGGAUUAGAUACCCCGGUAGUCCUGGCCGUAAACGAUGGGCACUAAGUAGAGGGGUUUU